Long non-coding RNA from Biomphalaria glabrata, 325 nucleotides. RefSeq lists it as uncharacterized. The record is from RefSeq and is a predicted model, not a curated record. NCBI's taxonomy places the organism in Eukaryota, Metazoa, Mollusca, Gastropoda, Planorbidae. The transcript is spliced from 2 exons.
UAAAAAACAGCAGACGAUGCAUUCUUGCUUUGAACUAUCAAGACGCUUAUAGAUCAUUUACAAGUGUAUCUACCAUUUCAUUACACGAACAAUGCAUUGUGUUGCUGUCUUGUCGAUGAUGAUGUUACUACUCGUGGGAAAUAUACAAGCUCUUCCCGAGUGUACAAGCUGCUUAUUUACGGAUGCUGCAUGCAGAGCCCAGUGCCUGAAUACACUGAAGGACAACUGUCUUUGUAAAGCUGACACCUACGCCUGCUUCGAAUUUUGUUUUUCUAUGCUUAUGCAGCUGCACUGUUGUCCGGGAAAAUAAAAUUAACUAAAUGAA